GGAGCGAGUAAAGCGGCGAACGGGUGAGUAAUACGUAAGAACCUACCCUAAAGUGGAGAAUACCCUCGAGAAAUCGAGGUUAAUACUGCAUACGUCCCUACGGGGAGAAAGAUGGCUUUUAUGCUGUCGCUUAAGGAUGGGCUUGCGGGCUAUUAGCUUGUUGGUGGGGUAAAGGCCUACCAAGGCGAUGAUGGCUAGUCGGCCUGAGAGGGUGAACGGCCACACUGGAACUGAGACACGGUCCAGACUCC
RNAcentral lists this ribosomal RNA (251 nucleotides) under uncultured bacterium. RNAcentral describes it as "partial 16S ribosomal RNA". It matches the Rfam family "Bacterial small subunit ribosomal RNA", at positions 83 to 339 of the family's 1533-position model. The record is from RNAcentral.